Molecule: long non-coding RNA, 1325 nt
Organism: Salvia splendens (bonfire salvia)
Lineage: Eukaryota; Viridiplantae; Streptophyta; Magnoliopsida; Lamiales; Lamiaceae
Exons: 3
Source: RefSeq, a predicted model, not a curated record
UUCCAUCUUUUCUCGUUGGCCGAGUCUUUUGCCCACUUUUAGAUGUUAAUCCUUUCCCCCUGUUUUAGGAAUUGUUUAAUGUUGGAGAGUGUGUUAAAUGGUUGAGCUAUGUUAGAUUGUGAUUCUGUGAAUCUUCUUGCUGUAUAUAUUGGAAUAUAGAGUUUCUAGAUUAAAUUUUGUAGGUUUACUUGAAAAAAACUGAGCUUGAUGAAUUCAAUUUGUGUGUGUGUGUGUGUGUGUGAAAUGAAAAGGGUGGCUUUACCUUGAAAUUUUGCUACUAUUUCCUAGUUAUGGAAGCAGUCAACUUUGCAGAAUUUAAUUGGAAAGUUCAUAUGCAAAAAUGUCAAUUUGUGUGUGUGAGAGAGAUGGUAUUGGUAGAAUCAUGGAAUGAAAAGGAUGGCUUUACUUUGAAAUUUUGUUACUAUUUGCUAGAUAUGGAAGUAAUCAACUUUGCAGGAAUUUGGAUAGAGUUUAUACAUUAAAUUUUAGUAUAGUUUUACAUGAAAAAGAAUGAGCUUGAUUGAUGAAUUCAAUUUGUGUGUGUGAGAGAGAGAGUCUCAGUGUAGUGAUGGUAUUGGUAGGAUCAUGGAAUGAAAAGGAUGACUUUACCUUGAAAUUUUGUUAUUUGGUAGCUAUGGAAGAUAUCAGCUUUGCAGGAUUAUAGAAGGCACAUGCUGCUGCUGCUGAAACUAAUCAGCCGGAAUGGUGGGAAAAGAAUGCUGGCCCGAAUAUGAUUGACAUUAAAUCAACACAAGAAUUUGUAGACGCGCUGAGUCAGGCUGGAGAUAGAUUGGUCAUAGUUGAAUUCUUUGGUGCGUGGUGUGCUUCUUGUCGAGCUCUAUUUCCCAAAGUUUGCCGAGCAAUACCCAGAAAUCAUUUUCCUUAAGGUGAACUUCGAUGAGAACAAGCCCCUCUGUAAAAGCCUAAACAUAAAGGUUCUUCCGUAUUUCCACUUCUACAAGGGAGCUGAUGGCUUGGUCGACUCGUUCUCAUGCUCUCUUGCCAAGGUAAGCCCUCACACAAUCCUCAUUCUAUUCGAACAACAGCUACUUAUCUUAUGUGACCAAAUGAACAUUUGUCGAUUUACACUUAGAGUUAUUCGGAACUGUUGCUUGAUCCCUUUUGCCUAUCUUGGUCGAUUUGGACAUCGAAUGAUGUCUACUUAGCCUGUAAUCUUAUGCAGCUCCAGAAACUGAAGGAUUCCAUCGCGACUCAUAACAAAGCUCGACAUAGCAAUAGCACCCCGGAUUCUAAUGGUGGCGUUGGUGAUAGCGUGGAUGUAUCUGCAUCUCGCGAUGACAUGCAAUUGUGACCCGAAUUCGAGU